Molecule: ribosomal RNA, 501 nt
Filed under: uncultured bacterium
Lineage: Bacteria
Description: partial 16S ribosomal RNA
Rfam family: Bacterial small subunit ribosomal RNA
Source: RNAcentral
AUUGAACGCUGGCUGCAUGCCUUACACAUGCAAGUCGAACGGCAGCACGGGUGCUUGCACCUGGUGGCGAGUGGCGAACGGGUGAGUAAUACAUCGGAACGUACCUUAUCGUGGGGGAUAACGCAGCGAAAGCUGUGCUAAUACCGCAUACGCACUGAGGGGGAAAGCGGGGGAUCGCAAGACCUCGCGCAAUUAGAGCGGCCGAUGCCUGGUUAGCUUGUUGGUGGGGUAAAAGCCCACCAAGGCGACGAUCAGUAGCUGGUCUGAGAGGACGAGCAGCCACACUGGGACUGAGACACGGCCCAGACUCCUACGGGAGGCAGCAGUGGGGAAUUUUGGACAAGGGGGGCAACCCUGAUCCAGCAAUGCCGCGUGAGUGAAGAAGGCCUUCGGGUUGUAAAGCUCUUUUGUCAGGGAAGAAACACCGGCUCUAACACAGUCUGGGAAUGACGGUACCUGAAGAAUAAGCACCGGCUAACUACGUGCCAGCCGCCGCAGUAA